GACGAACCAUGCAAACGUUAUUCGGAAUCACUGGGCUUAAAGGGUGCGUAGGCGGUGCGGAAAGUUGGGUGUGAAAUCCCUCAGCUUAACUGAGGAACAGCGCUCAAAACUGCCGUGCUCGAGGGAGAUAGAGGUGAGCGGAACUUAGGGUGGAGCGGUGAAAUGCGUUGAUAUCCUAAGGAACACCGGUGGCGAAAGCGGCUCACUGGAUCUCUUCUGACGCUGAGGCACGAAAGCUAGGGGAGCAAACGGG
RNAcentral lists this ribosomal RNA (253 nucleotides) under uncultured bacterium. RNAcentral's name for it is "partial 16S ribosomal RNA". It matches the Rfam family "Bacterial small subunit ribosomal RNA", at positions 524 to 776 of the family's 1533-position model. The record is from RNAcentral.